GUGGGGAAUUUUGGACAAUGGGCGCAAGCCUGAUCCAGCCAUUCCGCGUGCAGGAUGAAGGCCUUCGGGUUGUAAACUGCUUUUGUACGGAACGAAAAGCCUCUGGUUAAUACCCGGGGGUCAUGACGGUACCGUAAGAAUAAGCACCGGCUAACUACGUGCCAGCAGCCGCGGUAAUACGUAGGGUGCGAGCGUUAAUCGGAAUUACUGGGCGUAAAGCGUGCGCAGGCGGUGAUGUAAGACAGUUGUGAAAUCCCCGGGCUCAACCUGGGAACUGCAUCUGUGACUGCAUUGGUGGAGUGCGGCAGAGGGGGAUGGAAUUCCGCGUGUAGCAGUGAAAUGCGUAGAUAUGCGGAGGAACACCGAUGGCAAAGGCAAUCCCCUGGGCCUGCACUGACGCUCAUGCACGAAAGCGUGGGGAGCAAACAGGAUUAGAAACCCGUGUAGUCC
RNAcentral lists this ribosomal RNA (450 nucleotides) under uncultured bacterium. RNAcentral's name for it is "partial 16S ribosomal RNA". It matches the Rfam family "Bacterial small subunit ribosomal RNA", at positions 354 to 796 of the family's 1533-position model. The record is from RNAcentral.